Molecule: transfer RNA, 71 nt
Filed under: Loxodonta africana (African savanna elephant)
Lineage: Eukaryota; Metazoa; Chordata; Mammalia; Proboscidea; Elephantidae
Rfam family: tRNA
About the family: Transfer RNA (tRNA) molecules are approximately 80 nucleotides in length. Their secondary structure includes four short double-helical elements and three loops (D, anti-codon, and T loops).
Source: Rfam by way of RNAcentral
GCAUUGGUGGUUCAGUUGUGGAAUUCUUGCCUUGCAUGUGGGAGACCUGGGUUUGAUACCCUGCCAAGGUA